Molecule: ribosomal RNA, 497 nt
Filed under: uncultured bacterium
Lineage: Bacteria
Description: partial 16S ribosomal RNA
Rfam family: Bacterial small subunit ribosomal RNA
Source: RNAcentral
GAUGAACGCUGGCGGCGUGCCUAAUACAUGCAAGUCGAGCGAACAGACGAGGAGCUUGCUCCUCUGACGUUAGCGGCAGACGGGUGAGUAACACGUGGAUAACCUACCUAUAAGACUGGGAUAACUUCGGGAAACCGGAGCUAAUACCGGAUAAUAUAUUGAACCGCAUGGUUCAAUAGUGAAAGACGGUUUUGCUGUCACUUAUAGAUGGAUCCGCGCCGCAUUAGCUAGUUGGUAAGGUAACGGCUUACCAAGGCGACGAUGCGUAGCCGACCUGAGAGGGUGAUCGGCCACACUGGAACUGAGACACGGUCCAGACUCCUACGGGAGGCAGCAGUAGGGAAUCUUCCGCAAUGGGCGAAAGCCUGACGGAGCAACGCCGCGUGAGUGAUGAAGGUCUUCGGAUCGUAAAACUCUGUUAUUAGGGAAGAACAAAUGUGUAAGUAACUAUGCACGUCUUGACGGUACCUAAUCAGAAAGCCACGGCUAACUACGUG